AAUCAACGCUGGCGGCGUGCCUAACACAUGCAAGUCGAGCGAGAAAGUGGAGCAAUCCAUGAGUAAAGCGGCGACCGGGUGAGUAACACGUGACUAACCUACCUUCGAGUGGGGAAUAACUCCGGGAAACCGGGGCUAAUACCGCAUAACAUCGAAAGAUCAAAGCAGCAAUGCGCUUGAAGAGGGGGUCGCGGCUGAUUAGCUAGUUGGCGGGUAACGGCCCACCAAGGCGAAGACGGUAUCCGGCCUGAGAGGGCGCACGGACACACUGGAACUGAAACACGGUCCAGACUCUACGGGAGGCAGCAGUGGGAAUUUUGCGCAAUGGGGGAAACCCUGACGCAGCAACGCCGACGUGGAGGAUGAAGCCCCUU
RNAcentral lists this ribosomal RNA (374 nucleotides) under uncultured bacterium. RNAcentral's name for it is "bacterial SSU rRNA". It matches the Rfam family "Bacterial small subunit ribosomal RNA", at positions 32 to 419 of the family's 1533-position model. The record is from RNAcentral.